This is a long non-coding RNA of Uranotaenia lowii, 2463 nucleotides long. RefSeq lists it as uncharacterized. The transcript has 4 exons. NCBI's taxonomy places the organism in Eukaryota, Metazoa, Arthropoda, Insecta, Diptera, Culicidae. The record is from RefSeq and is a predicted model, not a curated record.
AAUCAAAAACCGUUCAGCUAAUCGUCUGAAUCAUUUGGUUCUGAUUACAUUAAUCGUCACGAUUUGUCUGGCGACUUUGCUGAUGGUGCCUUUGCUAGGAACGAUAAAAAAAGAUUUCUGUAAUACAGGAUGAAUGAUUUUAGAAAAAAAUGGAAAUUUUCGCGCAUCUGAAUGUAGGGUGUCUCGAGUGAAGCGUCAGUGUGUCUCAACUUCUCUUUUGUUAUAGCAUCAUUUUAUUGACCAGCAAAAAUAUUUAGAAAAGUAAUGUUUGAAAAUGUUAAAACCCGUGAAUCAUAACACAAAAUGCGUGCUCAAACUACAUCGGUAGGUAGAGAGUGCUAUGUCUCCAUAGAACAUUCUUUCGCACCUGGGAUCGCAGCACCGGAGGAGCAGGUGCUGCAAGCAGCGAAAAAAACGAUUCCGGAGUAAAUCAUGAUUGUUUGUUCCGGAUGUUGGUCAAAUUGUUCCAGGUCAGCCGAAAGAAAAACGCGAAGAAUUAAGAAAAAACGCUUUCUUCAGAACCACCACAGGUUCCAGCUCGGAAGGUUAAACAUUCGGAUCUGGAUUUCGGUUUCUCUUGAAUAGACUUAUUUGUACUCGUUCUGGUCUUCAUCAUCCAUCAUCUUCAUCUGAUAACAAACAACGUGUCAUCCGAUGUAAACAGCUUCAAUAGAAUCAUAAAAAAGUGGAAGGAAAAGUUUUUAUCGCGGUCUGCAUGUAAUAUUUAAUUAACAGUUUUGCUUGAAAUUACAGUAAGGUUUGUACGUACACACAGUGCCGCUUUCCUAUGUGGCUAGGUAGUAGUGGCGGAAUGCAUGACUGCGGGUUUCAAUCCGUCGCUUCCGAAAUAUCGAAUCUCACAGAGCAAUAGGAUUUAGCCUGAGCUACAGUGCGGUCCAGAGACGUUGCAGGCAGAGGCGGAUGUGUUGGAUUGAAAACAGUAGCCGGGAUUGAUGGCAGUGGCUGUCAUAGUUCAAAUAGUGCCACGGUAAUUUGUGUAUUCAAACAAUCAAUUUUGCUGCCAAUCGACAAAAAUAUAAGUAGUGGAUUGACAGCGCUGAAUGCAAAAAUUGAUCUCAACGGUGAGGUGCUCGGAACCGAAGAACUUGUUCUGCGAGCUGCGAUUAUCUCCAGUGGAAUCCAGACAGUGUAAGCACUGGUUAAUGUUUUGUGAAACCCUGCGUACCUGGGGAGUUAUGGUCAAAACCACCGUCACGGCGCCACCGCCCACCGAGCUGGUUCCACAGUGCAUGCCCAGCAUGUCCCGAUACGCUUGCCACCGAUUGACUGCAUCGAUGAAACAACCACCCUGAACGACCAAUCUAACGAAGACCUAGUCUCUAAAAACUUUUUCCUGGAGAAAAGAAAGGUCCAUCAAAAAUUGAGUGUGGUUACACUAUUUACAGAGCAUAAGCGCCAGAAAAAACCGAAAUUUUAAGUUCUGACAGGAGCGUCUGCUUCUAAAUGUUUCACAUUGCUCGAAAGUUGUCAGCGUGCUAAAAGCUUGCCUUGAUAAAAGACGCGAAGAAAACCUUGCCAAAAGCUACUUAGUACGACAUCUUUCCGAAGCAACUCCUUUACCGGAAAUGCCGUCUAAAAAUUGAACUAGUCAGAUGCAAUUAAGUCACCAUCUAACCUGCUAUUCUGUUUUUUCGAACAUCCCAAAGAUGCGAGUAAAAACAACAUAAUAUGCAACGAUGGAAUAGAAGGGUCACAUGAAAAAUUUCAAUGAGGUGUUUGUAAAUUUUAUAUUUAUAAAUUUUCGAAUGUUUCAUCAGCAAUGUUGAAGAUUAAUUUGUUUUUAUCAACGAGCAAUUGCAAUUUUUCAUUUCAUUGUUGAAUUCAGGAUAAAUUUAAGAUAUCAGGAUGUUUAAUUUAUGCUUCGAAGAUAAUUUAGUAAUUUAGUCUGUUAAUAUGUCAAAUCAUAUUUUUAAUUCCUCAAUCAAAAUCAGUUGACGAAGUAACAUCCCAUAAUCAUUUCCACAUAAAUAAGUUUGAAUCAGAGUUGACCAGGAAAAAUAGUAGCAGAAAUCAGGUUUUUCGAGAAUAAAAUAUGAUAUAAUUCAAAAUGCCAAACCAAAAUAACAAAAUCUAUUUUAAGAAGAUUUCAGAACCAAAUGUUUGUUUAUUCAAAGUGAAAAUUUGAAUUUGAUGUAUCUUUUUUUUUAUUGGAAUCAAAAAAUGGUUUUAUGGUUUAGUACUUUGUAAAAUGUUUUUGGAAAUUGUUAGAUAAAAAAAUGUACUAUAGGAAGUACAAUACAUACAAACUUAAUUAAAAGAUUAUGUAAAGCAUUAGGGAAUGUUGCUGAACGUAUAGAUCGGCUUCGAAAGCUCGUUUGCAUCUCACGAAGCCUAGAAAUGUUAGUCAAAUCUUAAUUUAUUUACUAGUGUUAAAACUACAGGAAAAAUUAAUGUAACAACUUAUAAAACGACUUUUGUAAUAAACUCUGGGAAAAACACAAA